AACUGGGAUUAGAUACCCCACUAUGCCUAGCCGUAAACAUUGAUAGUGCAUUACAUCUGCUAUCCGCCCGGGUACUACGAGCAUCAGCUUAAAACCCAAAGGACUUGGCGGUGCUUUAGAUCCACCUAGAGGAGCCUGUUCUAGAACCGAUAAUCCCCGUUAAACCUCACCUUUCCUUGUUUUCCCAGCCUAUAUACCGCCGUCGUCAGCUUACCCUGCGAAGGACCAACAGUAAGCAAAAUUGGCACAGCCCAGAACGCCAGGUCGAGGUGUAGCCUAUGGAAAGGGAAGAAAUGGGCUACAUUCAAUAUUACAAUGAAUACGGAUGGGGGGUUGAAACACCCCCCUGAAGGAGGAUUUAGCAGUAAGCAGGAAAUAGAGAGUCCCGCUGAAAUUGGCCCUGAAGCGCGUACACACCGCCCGUCACUCUCCC
Molecule: ribosomal RNA, 433 nt
Filed under: Symphodus cinereus (grey wrasse)
Lineage: Eukaryota; Metazoa; Chordata; Actinopteri; Labriformes; Labridae
Description: partial 12S ribosomal RNA
Rfam family: Bacterial small subunit ribosomal RNA
Source: RNAcentral